RNAcentral lists this ribosomal RNA (497 nucleotides) under Theileria annulata. RNAcentral's name for it is "partial small subunit ribosomal RNA". It matches the Rfam family "Eukaryotic small subunit ribosomal RNA", at positions 578 to 1081 of the family's 1831-position model. Lineage: Eukaryota; Apicomplexa; Aconoidasida; Piroplasmida; Theileriidae. The record is from RNAcentral.
GGUAAUUCCAGCUCCAAUAGCGUAUAUUAAAAUUGUUGCAGGGGGUUAAAAAGCUCGUAGUUGAAUUUCUGCUGCAUUGCUUGUGUCCCUCUGGGGUCUGUGCAUGUGGCUUUUUUCGGGGGGGACGGAGUUUCUUUGUCUGAAUGUUUACUUUGAGAAAAUUAGAGUGCUCAAAGCAGGCUUUCGCCUUGAAUAGUUUUUUAAAAGCAUGGAAUAAUAAAGUAGGACUUUGGUUCUAUUUUGUUGGUUUUAGGUACCAAAGUAAUGGUUAAUAGGAACAGGGGAAAUUGGGGGCAUUCGUAUUUAACUGUCAGAGGUGAAAUUCUUAGAUUUGUUAAAGACGAACUACUGCGAAAGCAUUUGAAAACCCCCAAGGAUGUUUUCAUUAAUCAAGAACGAAAGUUAGGGGAUCGAAGACGAUCAGAUACCGUCGUAGUCCUAACCAUACCCCAACUAUGCCGACUAGAGAUUGGAGGUCGUCAGUUUUUACGACCCCC